CCUAUAAAGCCAACGUUACAUUGAAAGUCACUUAGGGUACAUUGCUCCCCUAUACAGCCAACGUUACAAUGAAACUCAUUAAGGGUAAUUGCCCCCAGAUCACUUCUUGUUCUUUACUCAAAGGGAAUCUCCAAACAUUCAGGAUUUGCCUGUAUAUUUGUUUGCAAUCUAUGUGCUCUGUUCCCUGUCUGCUCCUGGCAAUGAUUAGCUCCUCUCUGGGGAUUUUGUUCUCAUGAUGCCAUGUUUCUCCUGCAGAGUGACGUGUCCACCAAACCACGUUCCUUAGCGGGCGGUAAUGUAGUGAAGCAAUCAGAGAUCACCAAACUACAGCCAUUCCCUGAGAGAGACAGAUCGUGUGCUUAGAAGAGACAAAGGAUGGAGAAGUGGAACUGUACCAGGAAGCUACCAUCAUACAGUGCCUCAAGCAAUACUUACUGAAACACAGACGGUUUUGCUUCCUAUGUGGGCCACCAAAGACAUUAAAAAGAAUCUACAAGAUGUUUAUUAUGCUUUCACCAUGUUUUGUGUGUUUAGAUUUUAUCAGUCAUUUCAUCAGUUGCUAAUAAGAUUUAAAAGGAUAAAAUCUAUUCUGGGCCUAAAAUACAUUUUAUUUUUGCUUUUAUUAAAAAAAAGAAUCAAAUGUUAAUAUUAUGAUUGAAACAGAAUGGAUGGAGUGGCAG
Bufo gargarizans (Asiatic toad) is the source of this 680-nucleotide long non-coding RNA. RefSeq lists it as uncharacterized. The record is from RefSeq and is a predicted model, not a curated record. The transcript has 3 exons. Lineage: Eukaryota; Metazoa; Chordata; Amphibia; Anura; Bufonidae.